AACCUCCGCAAUGUGAGAAAUCGCGACGGGGGGAUCCCAAGUGCCAUUCUUAACGGGAUGGCUUUUCUUAAGUGUAAAAAGCUUUUGGAAUAAGAGCUGGGCAAGACCGGUGCCAGCCGCCGCGGUAACACCGGCAGCUCUAGUGGUAGCUGUUUUUAUUGGGCCUAAAGCGUUCGUAGCCGGUUUGAUAAGUCACUGGUGAAAUCCUGUAGCUUAACUGUGGGAAUUGCUGGUGAUACUGUUGAACUUGAGGUCGGGAGAGGUUAGCGGUACUCCCAGGGUAGAGGUGAAAUUCUGUAAUCCUGGGAGGACCACCUGUGGCGAAGGCGGCUAACUGGAACGAACCUGACGGUGAGGGACGAAAGCUAGGGGCGCGAACCGGAUUAGAUACCCGGGUAGUCCUAGCCGUAAACGAUGCGGACUUGGUGUUGGGUGGCUUUGAGCUGCUCCAGUGCCGAAGGGAAGCUGUUAAGUCCGCCGCCUGGGAAGUACGGUCGCAAGACUGAAACUUAAGGAAUU
RNAcentral lists this ribosomal RNA (519 nucleotides) under uncultured bacterium. RNAcentral describes it as "bacterial SSU rRNA". It matches the Rfam family "Archaeal small subunit ribosomal RNA", at positions 345 to 866 of the family's 1478-position model. The record is from RNAcentral.